RNAcentral lists this ribosomal RNA (199 nucleotides) under uncultured bacterium. Its description in RNAcentral is "partial 16S ribosomal RNA". It matches the Rfam family "Bacterial small subunit ribosomal RNA", at positions 1302 to 1500 of the family's 1533-position model. The record is from RNAcentral.
AGUCUGCAACUCGACUACAUGAAGCUGGAAUCGCUAGUAAUCGCAGAUCAGAAUGCUGCGGUGAAUACGUUCCCGGGUCCUUGUACACACCGCCCGUCACACCAUGGGAGUCGGAAAUGCCCGAAGCCGGUGACCCAACCAAAAGGAGGGAGCCGUCGAAGGCAGGUCUGAUAACUGGGUGAAGUCGUAACAAGGUAAC